This 253-nucleotide ribosomal RNA is filed under the name uncultured bacterium. Its description in RNAcentral is "partial 16S ribosomal RNA". It matches the Rfam family "Bacterial small subunit ribosomal RNA", at positions 524 to 776 of the family's 1533-position model. The record is from RNAcentral.
UACGAAGGGGACUAGCGUUGUUCGGAAUUACUGGGCGUAAAGCGCACGUAGGCGGAUUGCUAAGUCAGGGGUGAAAUCCCGGGGCUCAACCUCGGAACUGCCUUUGAUACUGACAAUCUCGAGUCCGAUAGAGGUGGGUAGAAUUCCUAGUGUAGAGGUGAAAUUCGUAGAUAUUAGGAAGAACACCGGUGGCGAAGGCGGCCCACUGGAUCGGUACUGACGCUGAGGUGCGAAAGCGUGGGGAGCAAACAGG